Molecule: unclassified non-coding RNA, 400 nt
Filed under: uncultured fungus
Lineage: Eukaryota; Fungi
Description: partial contains 5.8S ribosomal RNA, internal transcribed spacer 2, and large subunit ribosomal RNA
Source: RNAcentral
AACGCAAGUUGCGCUCCCAUUUGCGUGGGAGCAUGCCUCUUUGAGUGUCGGUUUUCAUACCGCUCCAGCGCUCUUUAUUGGAGAACUGGGACAGUGAGCGCUUUCGGCCCGUAACACGGCCGUCGCUUGAAGGCUCGGGACGUCGGCGAUGGUCACCAUACCAAACAACGACCGAAACCAGGUUUCAACGUGGGUAGGUCUCGCUUCGGCGACACACGACACGCUGGAUCACACUGGCUCGGCCUGUUGGGUGCCAUCUUCGCUGUUUUUCCGUACGCCGGUGUGAGGUCGGUUUCACUGCCGUCCUCAGCCUUACCGGCCGCCGCACCCUUUACGGGGCGCAGCGAAACACACUCCAACCUUCGACCUCAAAUGAGGCAAGAAGACCCGCCGAAUUUAA